UCAAGACAAGUACCCUCACAUGGUUUUUUUCUCCUCUCUCAUUCUUUUCACUUCCACCGGCUUCAUCUUUUAUGUUCCUUUUCUUGUAGCUAAUCAUGUGUUCUGAAUAUCGACGAUUUUUAUUUUAUGGUCUUGGUUAACAAUAGUUGAUUUAUUUUUGGGGAAUUAGGGUUUACUGGUUUAGGGUGUUCACAGGGUUAGAGGUUGGUGUUAAUGUUGUUAUGUGUAAGCCUUGUAAAGCCUUUUAUCGUAAUUCUUAUUAUGGGAUUAAUAUCGGCAGUCAAAACAAUUAGUGUUCAGACUUCUACCCCUUGUUUCGAUUGGAUUGAAGGAAAUGAAGGGAAGAGAAAAGAAAAGAAAUUUGA
This 365-nucleotide unclassified non-coding RNA is filed under the name Hevea brasiliensis (rubber tree). The record is from RNAcentral. Lineage: Eukaryota; Viridiplantae; Streptophyta; Magnoliopsida; Malpighiales; Euphorbiaceae.